UGCGUAGGCGGGUAGGUAAGUCAGUGGUGAAAUCUCAGAGCUUAACUCUGAAACUGCCAUUGAUACUAUCUAUCUUGAAUAUUGUGGAGGUUUGCGGAAUAUGUCAUGUAGCGGUGAAAUGCUUAGAUAUGACAUAGAACACCUAUUGCGAAGGCAGCAGGCUACACAUAUAUUGACGCUGAGGCACGAAAGCGUGGGAUCAAACAGGAUUAGAUACCCUGGUAGUCCACGCCCUAAACGAUGAUUACUCGACAUUUGUGAUACACUAUAAGUGUCUGAGCGAAAGCAUUAAGUAAUCCACCUGGGAAGUACGACCGCAAGGUUGAA
RNAcentral lists this ribosomal RNA (327 nucleotides) under uncultured bacterium. Its description in RNAcentral is "bacterial SSU rRNA". It matches the Rfam family "Bacterial small subunit ribosomal RNA", at positions 568 to 898 of the family's 1533-position model. The record is from RNAcentral.